This 820-nucleotide ribosomal RNA is filed under the name uncultured Dehalococcoides sp. RNAcentral describes it as "bacterial SSU rRNA". It matches the Rfam family "Bacterial small subunit ribosomal RNA", at positions 34 to 873 of the family's 1533-position model. The record is from RNAcentral. Lineage: Bacteria; Bacillati; Chloroflexota; Dehalococcoidia; Dehalococcoidales; Dehalococcoidaceae.
CCAUUGCGCCUGCCUACCAUGCAAGUCGAACGAACCUAAUCUUCGGAAAAGGUUAGUGGCGCACGGGUGAGUAACACGUAGGUGACCUGCCCUGGAGUGGGGGAUAACUUCUCGAAAGAGAAGCUAAUACCGCAUAUGCUCGGCCAUUCGGUUGGUCGAGUAAAGCUCCGGCGCUCCAGGAGGGGCCUGCGUCCGAUUAGCUAGUUGGUGGGGUAAUGGCCUACCAAGGCGAUGAUCGGUAGCUGGUCUGAGAGGACGAUCAGCCACACUGGCACUGACACACGGGCCAGACUCCUACGGGAGGCAGCAGUGAGGAAUAUUGGUCAAUGGGCGAAAGCCUGAACCAGCAACGCCGCGUGAGGGAUGAAGGCCUUCGGGUCGUAAACCUCUUUUCUGGGAGAAGAGACAAGGACGGUAUCCCAGGAAUAAGUCUCGGCUAACUACGUGCCAGCAGCCGCGGUAAAACGUAGGAGGCAAGCGUUAUCCGGAUUUACUGGGCGUAAAGCGCACGCAGGCGGCUGCGUAAGUCGGACGUGAAAGCUCCUGGCUCAACUGGGAGAGGUCGUUCGAAACUGCGCGGCUUGAGGUUGGAAGAGGAGAGCGGAAUUCCCGGUGUAGUGGUGGAAUGCGUAGAUAUCGGGAGGAACACCAGUGGCGAAAGCGGCUCUCUGGUCCACACCUGACGCUCAGGUGCGAAAGCGUGGGUAGCGAACGGGAUUAGAUACCCCGGUAGUCCACGCUGUAAACGAUGCGAACUAUGUGUUGGUAGUAUUAAACCUAUCAGUGCCGAAGCUAACGCGAUAAGUUCGCCGCCCUGGGG